AAAAUUUUAUUGGUGAGGUAGUAAUACCUGUUCACCACGGUUGUCAGGAUGCUGAACAGCUCCAACUGAAGAAUCAUUCUCAUUGGGAGAGACGGAAAUUUAAGCCUUGAAAGAAGAAAGAGGGAAAAGAAUAUGGCAGGGGAGAAGAGCAGAAAGAAAAUCGGAGGCAUGGGUGAAUUAGUUACAGACAGGAUAGUUAGCUCAGUUAGGUAAGAAGCAUAGCCAUGUCAUAAAUGUCCUUGAAAAUCAGUGACCACACCUUUAUAUGUAAGUGUAAUCUACUGCUUACCUCUUAGAAAGCAUCAAGAUAAUUAUUCCAGUGGCCAAUGCUACAAAGAAGCAUCAGUGUUUUUGUAACUGCUGUUCCCUCUGCAUAGGACACUCUUCAUAGUCUCUGUCUAUCUCCCUCUCAUUAAAGUCUCAGUUUAAAGGUCACCUCCUCAGGGAAGCCUUCCUUGACCACCCAUCCUACAAUGCUGUCUAUUUCCUAGAUCCCUGCUUUAUUUCUUCUAUAAAACUUAUUAUUUUGCCACACUGGGGAUUGAACCCAGCCCCUUGUGCAUGCUAGACAAAUGCUCUAUUACUGAGCUACAUCUCUAGUUCUUUUUAUUUUAAGACAUGGUAUCACUAUGUUGCCUGGGCUGGCCUUGAACUUGUGAUCUUCUGAUCUUAGCCUUUCUGAGUAGUGGGGCCUACAGGUAUGCACCACUAUGUCUGACAGAGCUU
Molecule: long non-coding RNA, 726 nt
Filed under: Marmota monax (woodchuck)
Lineage: Eukaryota; Metazoa; Chordata; Mammalia; Rodentia; Sciuridae
Source: RNAcentral